CCAGACUCCUACGGGAGGCAGCAGUGGGGAAUAUUGCACAAUGGGGGAAACCCUGAUGCAGCGACGCCGCGUGAGUGAAGAAGUAUUUCGGUAUGUAAAGCUCUAUCAGCAGGGAAGAAAAUGACGGUACCUGAUUAAGAAGCCCCGGCUAACUACGUGCCAGCAGCCGCGGUAAUACGUAGGGGGCAAGCGUUAUCCGGAAUUACUGGGUGUAAAGGGAGCGUAGACGGCAAUGCAAGCCUGGAGUGAAAGCCCGCGGCCUAACCGCGGGACUGCUUUGGGAACUGUGUGGCUGGAGUGCAGGAGAGGUAAGUGGAAUUCCUAGUGUAGCGGUGAAAUGCGUAGAUAUUAGGAGGAACACCAGUGGCGAAGGCGGUCUGCUGGACAGCAACUGACGCUGAGGCGCGAAAGCGUGGGGAGCAAACAGGAUUAGAUACCCUCGUA
This 444-nucleotide ribosomal RNA is filed under the name uncultured bacterium. Its description in RNAcentral is "bacterial SSU rRNA". It matches the Rfam family "Bacterial small subunit ribosomal RNA", at positions 331 to 792 of the family's 1533-position model. The record is from RNAcentral.